AGUCGAGCGGACAGAUGGGGAGCUUGCUCCCUGAUGUUAGCGGCGGACGGGUGAGUAACACGUGGGUAACCUGCCUGUAAGACUGGGAUAACUCCGGGAAACCGGGGCUAAUACCGGAUGGUUGUUUGAACCGCAUGGUUCAGACAUAAAAGGUGGCUUCGGCUACCACUUACAGAUGGACCCGCGGCGCAUUAGCUAGUUGGUGAGGUAACGGCUCACCAAGGCAACGAUGCGUAGCCGACCUGAGAGGGUGAUCGGCCACACUGGGACUGAGACACGGCCCAGACUCCUACGGGAGGCAGCAGUAGGGAAUCUUCCGCAAUGGACGAAAGUCUGACGGAGCAACGCCGCGUGAGUGAUGAAGGUUUUCGGAUCGUAAAGCUCUGUUGUUAGGGAAGAACAAGUGCCGUUCAAAUAGGGCGGCACCUUGACGGUACCUAACCAGAAAGCCACGGCUAACUACGUGCCAGCAGCCGCGGUAAUACGUAGGUGGCAAGCGUUGUCCGGAAUUAUUGGGCGUAAAGGGCUCGCAGGCGGUUUCUUAAGUCUGAUGUGAAAGCCCCCGGCUCAACCGGGGAGGGUCAUUGGAAACUGGGGAACUUGAGUGCAGAAGAGGAGAGUGGAAUUCCACGUGUAGCGGUGAAAUGCGUAGAGAUGUGGAGGAACACCAGUGGCGAAGGCGACUCUCUGGUCUGUAACUGACGCUGAGGAGCGAAAGCGUGGGGAGCGAACAGGAUUAGAUACCCUGGUAGUCCACGCCGUAAACGAUGAGUGCUAAGUGUUAGGGGGUUUCCGCCCCUUAUUGCUGCAGCUAACGCAUUAAGCACUCCGCCUGGGGAAUACGGUCCCCAAGACU
Molecule: ribosomal RNA, 856 nt
Filed under: Bacillus amyloliquefaciens
Lineage: Bacteria; Bacillati; Bacillota; Bacilli; Caryophanales; Bacillaceae
Description: bacterial SSU rRNA
Rfam family: Bacterial small subunit ribosomal RNA
Source: RNAcentral